AUACGGAGGAUCCGAGCGUUAUCCGGAUUUAUUGGGUUUAAAGGGUGCGCAGGCGGCCAUUUAAGUCAGCGGUUAAAUCGUGGGGCUCAACCCCAUUCUGCCGUUGAUACUGGGUGGCUUGAUUGCGGUCGAGGUUGGCGGAAUUCGUUGUGUAGCGGUGAAAUGCAUAGAUAUGACGAAGAACACUGAUUGCGUAGGCAGCUGACCAGACCGCAAAUGACGCUCAUGCACGAAAGUGCGGGGAUCGAACAUGAUUAGAUACCCUGGUAGUCCGCACAGUAAACGAUGAAUACUUGUUUUCGGCGAUAUAAUGUCGGAGGCAAAGCGAAAGCGAUAAGUAUUCCACCUGGGGAGUACGCCGGCAACGGUGGAACUCAAAGGAAUUGACGGGG
This 392-nucleotide ribosomal RNA is filed under the name uncultured bacterium. Its description in RNAcentral is "partial 16S ribosomal RNA". It matches the Rfam family "Bacterial small subunit ribosomal RNA", at positions 523 to 918 of the family's 1533-position model. The record is from RNAcentral.